This 1346-nucleotide ribosomal RNA is filed under the name uncultured bacterium. RNAcentral's name for it is "partial 16S ribosomal RNA". It matches the Rfam family "Bacterial small subunit ribosomal RNA", at positions 28 to 1381 of the family's 1533-position model. The record is from RNAcentral.
GACGAACGCUGGCGGCGUGCUUAACACAUGCAAGUCGAACGGAAAGGCCCUGCUUUUGUGGGGUGCUCGAGUGGCGAACGGGUGAGUAACACGUGAGUAACCUGCCCUUGACUUUGGGAUAACUUCAGGAAACUGGGGCUAAUACCGGAUAGGAGCUCCUGCUGCAUGGUGGGGGUUGGAAAGUUUCGGCGGUUGGGGAUGGACUCGCGGCUUAUCAGCUUGUUGGUGGGGUAGUGGCUUACCAAGGCUUUGACGGGUAGCCGGCCUGAGAGGGUGACCGGCCACAUUGGGACUGAGAUACGGCCCAGACUCCUACGGGAGGCAGCAGUGGGGAAUAUUGCACAAUGGGCGGAAGCCUGAUGCAGCAACGCCGCGUGCGGGAUGACGGCCUUCGGGUUGUAAACCGCUUUCGCCUGUGACGAAGCGUGAGUGACGGUAAUGGGUAAAGAAGCACCGGCUAACUACGUGCCAGCAGCCGCGGUGAUACGUAGGGUGCGAGCGUUGUCCGGAUUUAUUGGGCGUAAAGGGCUCGUAGGUGGUUGAUCGCGUCGGAAGUGUAAUCUCGGGGCUUAACCCUGAGCGUGCUUUCGAUACGGGUUGACUUGAGGAAGGUAGGGGAGAAUGGAAUUCCUGGUGGAGCGGUGGAAUGCGCAGAUAUCAGGAGGAACACCAGUGGCGAAGGCGGUUCUCUGGGCCUUUCCUGACGCUGAGGAGCGAAAGCGUGGGGAGCGAACAGGCUUAGAUACCCUGGUAGUCCACGCUGUAAACGGUGGGUACUAGGUGUGGGGUCCAUUCCACGGGUUCCGUGCCGUAGCUAACGCUUUAAGUACCCCGCCUGGGGAGUACGGCCGCAAGGCUAAAACUCAAAGGAAUUGACGGGGCCCCGCACAAGCGGCGGAGCAUGCGGAUUAAUUCGAUGCAACGCGUAGAACCUUACCUGGGUUUGACAUGGAUCGGGAGUGCUCAGAGAUGGGUGUGCCUCUUUUGGGGUCGGUUCACAGGUGGUGCAUGGCUGUCGUCAGCUCGUGUCGUGAGAUGUUGGGUUAAGUCCCGCAACGAGCGCAACCCUUGUUCACUGUUGCCAGCACGUUAUGGUGGGGACUCAGUGGAGACCGCCGGGGUCAACUCGGAGGAAGGUGGGGAUGACGUCAAGUCAUCAUGCUCCUUAUGUCCAGGGCUUCACGCAUGCUACAAUGGCUGGUACAGAGAGUGGCGAGCCUGUGAGGGUGAGCGAAUCUCGGAAAGCCGGUCUCAGUUCGGAUUGGGGUCUGCAACUCGACCUCAUGAAGUCGGAGUCGCUAGUAAUCGCAGAUCAGCAACGCUGCGGUGAAUACGUUCCCGGGGCU